GUACUCUCACACUUUGGAUCCUUUGGAUUUGGAGCGGUGGACUUGGGUGUUGCUGCUUUGCGGCGGCUCACCCCAAAUGCAUGCGUGCAACUCCUGGUUGGACAUAGUACGGCGUGAUAAGUGUCUUCGCCGGCACCUCGUUAAGAGGGUGGCCGAUCGGGAGCUCUGUGCUUCAAACCGUCUUCGGACAACAACUGACA
Molecule: unclassified non-coding RNA, 200 nt
Filed under: uncultured Sebacina
Lineage: Eukaryota; Fungi; Basidiomycota; Agaricomycetes; Sebacinales; Sebacinaceae
Description: sequence contains ITS2
Source: RNAcentral